GUGCGUGUUAAUGGUGAUGAGGGUACACCUGUUCCCAUUCCGAACACAGCAGUUAAGCUCACUCGUGCCCAAGAUAGUUAGCUGGAAACGGCUUGUGAAAAUAGGUAGUCGCCGACU
This 117-nucleotide ribosomal RNA is filed under the name Lactococcus lactis. The record is from RNAcentral. Lineage: Bacteria; Bacillati; Bacillota; Bacilli; Lactobacillales; Streptococcaceae.